This 259-nucleotide ribosomal RNA is filed under the name uncultured bacterium. RNAcentral's name for it is "partial 16S ribosomal RNA". It matches the Rfam family "Bacterial small subunit ribosomal RNA", at positions 95 to 354 of the family's 1533-position model. The record is from RNAcentral.
UUGGCGGACGGGUGAGUAACGCGUGGGUAACCUGCCUCACACUGGGGGAUAACACUUAGAAAUAGGUGCUAAUACCGCAUAAGCGCACGGGACUGCAUGGUCUUGUGUGAAAAACUCCGGUGGUGUGAGAUGGACCCGCGUCUGAUUAGCUGGUUGGCGGGGUAACGGCCCACCAAGGCGACGAUCAGUAGCCGGCCUGAGAGGGUGGCCGGCCACACUGGGACUGAGACACGGCCCAGACUCCUACGGAAGGCAGCAG